UGGGGAAUAUUGCGCAAUGGGCGAAAGCCUGACGCAGCGACGCCGCGUGAGGGAAGAAGGUCUUCGGAUCGUAAACCUCUGUCAGGAGGGAAGAACCGCAUGGGAAGGAAAUGUCCUGUGCCUGACGGUACCUCCAGAGGAAGCACCGGCUAACUCCGUGCCAGCAGCCGCGGUAACACGGGGGGUGCCAGCGUUAAUCGGAAUGACUGGGCGUACAGCGCGCGUAGGCGGCUGGAUAAGUCGGGUGUGAAAGCCCUCGGCUCAACCGGGGAACGGCACGCGAAACUGUCUGGCUGGAGUCCGAGAGAGGGUGGCGGAAUGCCGGGUGUAGGGGUGAAAUCCGUAGAUAUCCGGAGGAACACCGGUGGCGAAGGCGGCUGCCUGGAUCGGCACUGACGCUGAUGCGCGAAAGCGUGGGGAGCAAACA
Molecule: ribosomal RNA, 427 nt
Filed under: uncultured prokaryote
Description: bacterial SSU rRNA
Rfam family: Bacterial small subunit ribosomal RNA
Source: RNAcentral